GAUGAACGCUGGCGGCGUGCCUAAUACAUGCAAGUCGAGCGAACGGACGAGAAGCUUGCUUCUCUGAUGUUAGCGGCGGACGGGUGAGUAACACGUGGAUAACCUACCUAUAAGACUGGGAUAACUUCGGGAAACCGGAGCUAAUACCGGAUGAUCUUUUGAACCGCAUGGUUCAAAAGUGAAAGACGGUCUUGCUGUCACUUCUCGAUGGAUACGCGCUGCAUUAGCUAGUUGGUAAGGUAACGGCUUACCAAGGCAACGAUGCAUAGCCGACCUGAGAGGGUGAUCGGCCACACUGGAGCUUAGACACGGUCCAGACUCCUACGGGAGGCAGCAGUAGGGAAUCUUCCGCAAUGGGCGAAAGCCUGACGGAGCAACGCCGCGUGAGUGAUGAAGGUCUUCGGAUCGUAAAACUCUGUUAUUAGGGAAGAACAUAUGUGUAAGUAACUGUGCACAUCUUGACGGUACCUAAUCAGAAAGCCACGGCUAACUACGUG
Molecule: ribosomal RNA, 497 nt
Filed under: uncultured bacterium
Lineage: Bacteria
Description: partial 16S ribosomal RNA
Rfam family: Bacterial small subunit ribosomal RNA
Source: RNAcentral